GGAGAUAUAGCUCAGUGGCAUAAGCACCUGCCUGGCAAGCAUGAAGUCUGAGUUCAAUCCUCGGUACCG
This 69-nucleotide transfer RNA is filed under the name Cavia porcellus (domestic guinea pig). It matches the Rfam family "tRNA". From Rfam's summary of the family: Transfer RNA (tRNA) molecules are approximately 80 nucleotides in length. Their secondary structure includes four short double-helical elements and three loops (D, anti-codon, and T loops). Lineage: Eukaryota; Metazoa; Chordata; Mammalia; Rodentia; Caviidae. The record is from Rfam by way of RNAcentral.